This 445-nucleotide ribosomal RNA is filed under the name Stygocapitella sp. 433_08. RNAcentral's name for it is "partial large subunit ribosomal RNA". It matches the Rfam family "Bacterial large subunit ribosomal RNA", at positions 1810 to 2615 of the family's 2925-position model. The record is from RNAcentral. Lineage: Eukaryota; Metazoa; Annelida; Polychaeta; Parergodrilidae.
AAAACAUAGUCUUUAUUAACACAUAAGAUAAAUCCUGCUCUCUGAUUUAUUUAACAGCCGCGGUAUCCUAACCGUGCUAAGGUAGCAUAAUCAUUUGCCUAUUAAUUGUAGGCUGGAAUGAACGGAACCACUCACUUAAUCCUAUAAACAUUAUAAUUUAACUUAAACUUAAAGUUAAAAUGCUAAUUAAUAGAGAAAGACAAAAAGACCCUAGAAACUACACCUAAGUGUUGGUUGGGGCAACCAUAGACCACCUAAGCGUCUAAAAUAUAAAAUUAACCUUUACUAUUAAGUUACUCUAGGGAUAACAGACUAAUUUCAGUUUCUAGACCAUAUAUAAAAUGAAGAUUGGCACCUCGAUGUUGGCUUAUAAUUUCUAAUUGAAGCAACACUCAAUUAAGAUAGAUUGUUCAUCUAUUAAACAUUUACAUGAGCUGAGUUCAGA